RNAcentral lists this ribosomal RNA (1388 nucleotides) under uncultured bacterium. RNAcentral describes it as "bacterial SSU rRNA". It matches the Rfam family "Bacterial small subunit ribosomal RNA". The record is from RNAcentral.
AGUUUGAUCCUGGCUCAGGAUGAACGCUGGCGGCGUGCCUAACACAUGCAAGUCGAACGGGGUAUAUAAGCGGAAGUUUACGGAUGGAAGGUUAUAUACUUAGUGGCGGACGGGUGAGUAACGCGUGGGCAACCUGCCCCGUGCCGGGGGAUACCGCCUGGAAACAGGCGCUAAUACCGCAUAAGCGCAUACAGCCGCAUGGGUGUAUGCGGAAAGCUCCGGCGGCACGGGAUGGGCCCGCGCCCGAUUAGCCAGUUGGCGGGGUAACGGCCCACCAAAGCGACGAUCGGUAGCCGGCCUGAGAGGGCGGACGGCCACAUUGGGACUGAGACACGGCCCAAACUCCUACGGGAGGCAGCAGUGGGGAAUAUUGCACAAUGGGGGAAACCCUGAUGCAGCAACGCCGCGUGGGUGAAGGAGCGUUUCGGCGCGUAAAGCCCUGUCAGCGGGGAAGAAGAAAGACGGUACCCGACCAAGAAGCCCCGGCUAACUACGUGCCAGCAGCCGCGGUAAUACGUAGGGGGCGAGCGUUAUCCGGAAUUACUGGGUGUAAAGGGAGCGUAGACGGCGAGGUAAGCCUGAAGUGGAAGCCCGCGGCCCAACCGCGGAACUGCUUUGGGAACUGUUUUGCUGGAGUAUGGGAGGGGUAAGCGGAAUUCCUGGUGUAGCGGUGAAAUGCGUAGAUAUCAGGAGGAACACCGGUGGCGAAGGCGGCUUACUGGACCAUAACUGACGUUGAGGCUCGAAAGCGUGGGGAGCGAACAGGAUUAGAUACCCUGGUAGUCCACGCCGUAAACGAUGAUUACCAGGUGUCGGGUGUCGAAGGACGGCCGGUGCCGCAGCGAACGCAGUAAGUAAUCCACCUGGGGAGUACGUUCGCAAGAAUGAAACUCAAAGGAAUUGACGGGGACCCGCACAAGCGGUGGAGCAUGUGGUUUAAUUCGAAGCAACGCGAAGAACCUUACCCGGCCUUGACAUCCCCCUGACAGUAUCUGUAAUGGAUAUUUCCUUCGGGACAGGGGAGACAGGUGUGCAUGGUUGUCGUCAGCUCGUGUCGUGAGAUGUUGGGUCAAGUCCCGCAACGAGCGCAACCCCUGCCCCCAGUAGCCAGCAUUUAAGAUGGGCACUCUGGGGGGACUGCCGGGGAUAACCCGGAGGAAGGCGGGGAUGACGUCAAAUCAUCAUGCCCCUUAUGGCCGGGGCUACACACGUGCUACAAUGGCGUAAACAGAGGGAGGCGAGACAGCGAUGUUAAGCGAACCCCAAAAAUAACGUCUCAGUUCGGAUUGCAGCCUGCAACUCGGAUGCAUGAAGCUGGAAUCGCUAGUAAUCGCGGAUCAGAAUGCCGCGGUGAAUACGUUCCCGGGCCUUGCACACACCGCCCGUCA